AACGAACGCUGGCGGCAUGCCUAACACAUGCAAGUCGAACGAGGCCUUCGGGUCUAUUUGCGCACGGGGGCGUAACGCGUGGGAACCUGCCCUUAGGUUCGGAAUAACUCCCCGAAAGGGGUGCUAAUACCAGAUAAUGUCUUCGGACCAAAGAUUUAUCGCCUUUGGAUGGGCCCGCGUUGGAUUAGCUAGUUGGUAGGGUAAAAGCCUACCAAGGCGACGAUCCAUAGCUGGUCUGAGAGGAUGAUCAGCCACACUGGGACUGAGACACGGCCCAGACUCGGACGGGAGGGAGCAGUAGAGAAUAUUGGACAAUGAGCGAAGGUGUGAUCCAGCCACGUCGGGUGAGUGAUGAAGGCCUUAGGGUUGUAAAGCUCUUUUACCCGGGAUGAUAAUGACGGUAACGGGAGAAUAAGCACCGGCUAACUACGUG
Molecule: ribosomal RNA, 433 nt
Filed under: uncultured bacterium
Lineage: Bacteria
Description: partial 16S ribosomal RNA
Rfam family: Bacterial small subunit ribosomal RNA
Source: RNAcentral